Canis lupus familiaris (dog) is the source of this 882-nucleotide long non-coding RNA. RefSeq lists it as uncharacterized. The transcript has 3 exons. The record is from RefSeq and is a predicted model, not a curated record. NCBI's taxonomy places the organism in Eukaryota, Metazoa, Chordata, Mammalia, Carnivora, Canidae.
GGAGGAUCAUCUGUUUCUGGACCAAAGUUGAUCUUAGGUAACUGAAACCAGGAAAAGUUGAAUUGGAGAUAAAGGUCCACACUGGAAACAAGCAAGUGUGCAUCUACAAGAGGACAGAUAAAUAAAAGGUGGAUGGCAUAGAAAAAAGUGGAGUGCUCAACAGUAAAAACAAACGAACUACCAAGGAGUCCCAUAGCUGACACGACUGAAUCUGGAAGAUGGUAUUUGAGUGAAAGAAACCAGACACAGAAGAGUUCAUUCUGUAUGGUACCAUUUCUAUGACGUCUAAGACUGGGCAAAACUAAGAAAACGGCUAUAUCUUCUGUGUCUGGAGAUGAAGGAUCAAGGAACCCAUACUAAUUCUUUGGCUUCACCUCUGACUAAAUACAAUCUUUGGUAGGCUGGCUUUCUCUCUCCCCCCCGCCCUUUCUUUCUAAACUUUAUUGAAUAUUUCUUAUUGUACUGCUAUAGGGAUAUGAUAAAAACCAAAACAGGGGUUCCUGACUGGCUCAGUUGGUAGAGAAUGUAACUUGAUCUCAAAGUUAUGAGUGCAAGCCCCAUGUUGGGCCUAGUGCUUUAAAACAAAACAAAACAAAACAAAACAAAACAAAACAACAACAGAAUAAUCUCAGCUCAGAUGGAGUUCAGUUUCUGGACGGGAGUGACAAACACAAAUGCACACUAUGAGCCAGGGAUGCAGUGAACAGAGCUGGGUUGUGUAAGACAACAGGUGAUCAUUUUCACUCAGCCUUGGUGUCUGGGAGCAAUCAGGGAAUGGUGGGGACUAUGGUAAAGUGGAGAGCCUCUGCUCUUCUCCAGGUCUUCAUACUGGCCAUGCAGGAAAGGAGACCCUGUUUUCCAUACCCUUCUGUUCACAUUUUG